AGCGCAAGCAGCUUGCUGCUUUGCUGACGAGUGGCGGACGGGUGAGUAAUGUCUGGGAAACUGCCUGAUGGAGGGGGAUAACUACUGGAAACGGUAGCUAAUACCGCAUAACGUCGCAAGACCAAAGAGGGGGACCUUCGGGCCUCUUGCCAUCAGAUGUGCCCAGAUGGGAUUAGCUAGUAGGUGGGGUAACGGCUCACCUAGGCGACGAUCCCUAGCUGGUCUGAGAGGAUGACCAGCCACACUGGAACUGAGACACGGUCCAGACUCCUACGGGAGGCAGCAGUGGGGAAUAUUGCACAAUGGGCGCAAGCCUGAUGCAGCCAUGCCGCGUGUAUGAAGAAGGCCUUCGGGUUGUAAAGUACUUUCAGCGGGGAGGAAGGCGAUGCGGUUAAUAACCGCGUCGAUUGACGUUACCCGCAGAAGAAGCACCGGCUAACUCCGUGCCAGCAGCCGCGGUAAUACGGAGGGUGCAAGCGUUAAUCGGAAUUACUGGGCGUAAAGCGCACGCAGGCGGUCUGUCAAGUCGGAUGUGAAAUCCCCGGGCUCAACCUGGGAACUGCAUCCGAAACUGGCAGGCUUGAGUCUCGUAGAGGGGGGUAGAAUUCCAGGUGUAGCGGUGAAAUGCGUAGAGAUCUGGAGGAAUACCGGUGGCGAAGGCGGCCCCCUGGACGAAGACUGACGCUCAGGUGCGAAAGCGUGGGGAGCAAACAGGAUUAGAUACCCCUGGUAGUCCACGCCGUAAACGAUGUCGACUUUGGAGGUUGUGCCCUUGAGGCGUGGCUUCCGGAGCUAACGCGUUAAGUCGACCGCCUGGGGGAGUACGGCCGCAAGGUUAAAACUCAAAUGAAAUUGACGGGGGCCCGCACAAGCGGUGGAAGCAUGUGGGUUUAAUUCGAUGCAACGCGAAGAACCUUACCUGGUCUUGACAUCCACAGAACUUUCCAAA
RNAcentral lists this ribosomal RNA (949 nucleotides) under Kosakonia sp. RNAcentral describes it as "bacterial SSU rRNA". It matches the Rfam family "Bacterial small subunit ribosomal RNA", at positions 65 to 1004 of the family's 1533-position model. The record is from RNAcentral. Lineage: Bacteria; Pseudomonadati; Pseudomonadota; Gammaproteobacteria; Enterobacterales; Enterobacteriaceae.